Perca fluviatilis (European perch) is the source of this 530-nucleotide long non-coding RNA. RefSeq lists it as uncharacterized. The record is from RefSeq and is a predicted model, not a curated record. The transcript has 3 exons. Lineage: Eukaryota; Metazoa; Chordata; Actinopteri; Perciformes; Percidae.
UUUCAGUCAAAACGGAAGGUGUUUCAGUAAAACCGGAAGGGCUUCCGUUCAACAAAAAUGCGCAAUUCACAGCGCGAUUCACGUGUUGAUCGUCAGCCACAUUGUUCGCAAACACUAAUGUCUGCCCAACAGCCUGCAAGCAGCCUAACCGAGGCAGCAGCGUUACUUCACACUGUACUUGCGUCAGCGGAGACCAUCAGAACCGUUGCAACUUCAAGCCGCGACACACUGGACAGUCACAUAGCGUCACUUUCCCCCUCCGGACAGCACAGCAGCAUGACACUGCCAACUGCAGCUCCAGUGUGAGCAACGCUUCAGCUCUUGGACAUCAGCCACGAGGUGGAAAAGGACUGGGACCACCAGACUGUUUUAGAACGCAUCAGGGAUGGCUUUGGUGAGCACAUUCCAGACGAUGUCAGCUAUAAGAGAGGACUGGUAAUACAUUGCUGGCAAAGCCAUUGCUGUGAGCUUGGUACAUGGCGGUCCACCACCAAACUUCCUCUCUCAGACAUAGCUGACACAGAACUCUU